Molecule: unclassified non-coding RNA, 327 nt
Filed under: soil metagenome
Description: partial contains 5.8S ribosomal RNA, internal transcribed spacer 2, and large subunit ribosomal RNA
Rfam family: 5.8S ribosomal RNA (bases 1-120)
Source: RNAcentral
GAUGAAGAACGUAGCGAAAUGCGAUAAGUAAUGUGAAUUGCAGAAUUCAGUGAAUCAUCGAAUCUUUGAACGCACAUUGCGCCCCUUGGUAUUCCGAGGGGCAUGCCUGUUCGAGCGUCAUUAUAACCCCUCAAGCUCAGCUUGGUGUUGGGGCCUGCUGCACUGGCAGCCCUUAAAAUCAGUGGCGGCGCCAUCUGGCUCUAAGCGUAGUAAUUCUUCUCGCUAUGGAGUCCUGGUGGAUGCUUGCCAUCAACCCCCAAUUUUUCUAUGGUUGACCUCGGAUCAGGUAGGGAUACCCGCUGAACUUAAGCAUAUCAAUAAGCGGGA